CGCGCCGGUCCUAGUGGCGUACGGGUGAGUAACACGUGGGUAACCUGCCCUGGAGACUGGGAUACCCUCCCGAAAGGGAGGCUAAUACCGGAUACGUUCCCUGGAUCGCGAGGUCCGGGGAGGAAAGGUGGCGUAAGCUGCCGCUCUUGGAGGGGCUCGCGACCUAUCAGCUAGUUGGUGAGGUGACGGCUCACCAAGGCGAUGACGGGUAGCUGGUCUGAGAGGACGACCAGCCACACGGGGACUGAGACACGGCCCCGACUCCUACGGGAGGCAGCAGUGGGGAAUUUUCCGCAAUGGGCGAAAGCCUGACGGAGUGACGCCGCGUGGGGGACGAAGGCCUUCGGGUUGUAAACCCCUGUCAGAGGGAAAGAAGGGUUCCGGUGCGAUAACCGCCGGCACUUGACGGUACCUUCAGAGGAAGCACCGGCCAACUACGUGCCAGCAGCCGCGGUAAUACGUAGGGUGCAAGCGUUGUCCGGAAUUAUUGGGCGUAAAGAGCUCGUAGGCGGUCUGUCGCGUCGGCUGUGAAAACUCGGGGCUCAACUCCGAGCUUGCAGUCGAUACGGGCAGGCUAGAGUUCGGCAGGGGAGACUGGAAUUCCUGGUGUAGCGGUGAAAUGCGCAGAUAUCAGGAGGAACACCGGUGGCGAAGGCGGGUCUCUGGGCCGAUACUGACGCUGAGGAGCGAAAGCGUGGGGAGCGAACAGGAUUAGAUACCCUGGUAGUCCACGCCGUAAACGUUGGGCGCUAGGUGUGGGAUCCCUUCCACGGGUUCCGUGCCGCAGCUAACGCAUUAAGCGCCCCGCCUGGGGAGUACGGCCGCAAGGCUAAAACUCAAAGGAGUUGACGGGGGCCCGCACAAGCGGCGGAGCAUAUGGAUUAAUUCGAUGCAACGCGAAGAACCUUACCUGGGUUUGACAUACACCGGAAAGCCGUGGAGACAUGGCCUCCGCAAGGCCGGUGUACAGGUGGUGCAUGGCUGUCGUCAGCUCGUGUCGUGAGAUGUUGGGUUAAGUCCCGCAACGAGCGCAACCCUCGUCCCAUGUUGCCAGCGGGUUAUGCCGGGGACUCAUGGGAGACUGCCGGGGUCAACUCGGAGGAAGGUGGGGACGACGUCAAGUCAUCAUGCCCCUUAUGUCCAGGGCUUCACACAUGCUACAAUGGCCGGUACAAAGGGCUGCUAAGCCGUAAGGUGGAGCGAAUCCCACAAAGCCGGUCUCAGUUCGGAUCGGGGUCUGCAACUCGACCCCGUGAAGUCGGAGUCGCUAGUAAUCGCAGAUCAGCAACGCUGCGGUGAAUACGUUCCCGGGCCUUGUACACACCGCCCGUCAC
Molecule: ribosomal RNA, 1334 nt
Filed under: uncultured bacterium
Lineage: Bacteria
Description: bacterial SSU rRNA
Rfam family: Bacterial small subunit ribosomal RNA
Source: RNAcentral